This 248-nucleotide ribosomal RNA is filed under the name uncultured bacterium. RNAcentral's name for it is "partial small subunit ribosomal RNA". It matches the Rfam family "Bacterial small subunit ribosomal RNA", at positions 26 to 288 of the family's 1533-position model. The record is from RNAcentral.
AGAAUCAACGCUGGCGGCGUGCCUAACACAUGCAAGUCGCACGAGAAAGGGUAGCAAUCCAUGAGUAAAGUGGCGCACGGGUGAGUAACACGUGACUAACCUACCCUUGAGUGGGGGAUAACCUAGGGAAACCUGGGCUAAUACCGCAUAAUACCUUCGGGUCAAAGGAGCAAUUCGCUUAAGGAGGGGGUCGCGGCCGAUUAGUUAGUUGGCGGGGUAAUGGCCCACCAAGACUGUGAUCGGUAUCC